CAGCAGCCACGGUAAUACGAAGGGUGCAAGCGUUAAUCGGAAUUACUGGGCGUAAAGCGUGCGCAGGCGGUUUGUUAAGACAGAUGUGAAAUCCCCGGGCUCAACCUGGGAACUGCAUUUGUGACUGGCAAGCUAGAGUAUGGCAGAGGGGGGUGGAAUUCCGCGUGUAGCAGUGAAAUGCGUAGAUAUGCGGAGGAACACCGAUGGCGAAGGCAGCCCCCUGGGCCAAUACUGACGCUCAUGCACGAAAGCGUGAGGAGCAAACAGGAUUAGAUACCCGCGUAGUCCCUGUCUCUUAUAC
This 301-nucleotide ribosomal RNA is filed under the name uncultured bacterium. RNAcentral's name for it is "partial 16S ribosomal RNA". It matches the Rfam family "Bacterial small subunit ribosomal RNA", at positions 509 to 807 of the family's 1533-position model. The record is from RNAcentral.